UGGGAAUAUUGCGCAAUGGGCGAAAGCCUGACGCAGCGACGCCGCGUGAGGGAUGAAGGUCUUCGGAUCGUAAACCUCUGUCAGCAGGGAAGAACGGUCACUGUGCUAAUCAGCAGUGAAUUGACGGUACCUGCAAAGGAAGCACCGGCUAACUCCGUGCC
This 161-nucleotide ribosomal RNA is filed under the name uncultured bacterium. Its description in RNAcentral is "partial 16S ribosomal RNA". It matches the Rfam family "Bacterial small subunit ribosomal RNA", at positions 356 to 509 of the family's 1533-position model. The record is from RNAcentral.